Molecule: RNA transcript, 587 nt
Organism: Epinephelus lanceolatus (giant grouper)
Lineage: Eukaryota; Metazoa; Chordata; Actinopteri; Perciformes; Serranidae
Source: RefSeq, a predicted model, not a curated record
CUCAAAUUAGCGCGAGCUCUUUCUAUUUCAAACUGACUUACUGAAGAAACGCCCUCUACCAUGGAGAACACAGAGAAGAGCACAGAGCAAGCUACUUCAACUGCCUGCACUGAUCUGGAAAACAUACUGAAAGGGCUGGACUCCUUGUCUAACUGCAUGGAUCAACUGGCAUUGCGAACCCAGCUGAGGCAAUGUGAUCUGAUCGUUUGUGUUGGCCACCCUGACAAGUCGGUGUUUCUGAAAAUCCAAGAGGCUCUGAAGCAGCAGCCCCCAGCUUGACAUGACACUGAGGCAUGAAGAACAAAGGAAGAGGAGGAUGAGAUAUAUGAGACCGUGACGGGCAACACCUGACCUUGUUCACCUCUCUGAGAGCAGCUUCAGCUUGAUGUCUGGUCACCUUUCCGCCAUACCAGCUGGGAUCCAAGCCCUGGAUGCAACAUAAUAAGACACUUAUAGUAAGGACUACAUAAACUAACUCUUCUCAUUUCUUUUUAACACUGACAGUAAUGUGCUUUACGCUAUUGUAAAUAAAUAUAACAGAUGUUUCCAAUUAUCCAACCUAGUGAAUAAAAUGCAAAUCUCUUGAG